GACCGCUUGAGCCCCACCGAGCUUAUAAGGUCUCCGUCUGCUGGAUAGACUGAGAUGGGGUGUGAGGUCCUCCUGGAAACAAGACAAAAGGAGGAUGAAUGAGAAGAAAGCAGAAUAGUGCACUGCUUUUCAUUGCUAGUGGUCUCGUGCUGGAUUAUUAAGGUCUUAACAGUUUUACACAUCCUUCAACCAGUAUGAGCACCUUUCUUAUCCCAAUUAAAUUCAAUCCUAAGGAGUGGAGAAGGUAAGUAGGCAAUUCUCGAAAUAAUAGUUGUGCAAUAUUACAAGGAGCUUUAGAUGAUUAUAGCUAAUUCUAAAAAAGCAAUCAUUUUUCAGACAUCAUGUGAAAGCAGGUUUUACACUGCCAGUCAAAAUGAUCAGACUUCCUAAAUAAUAACCCUUUUCAUAUUUCAAAAUAACUGUCAGUGAUAAAAGGACAUGCAGAAUAAUUCUGCCCUGUGAUGCUUUAUGCAUCCAAAACUGAAUCAGAUACAGUAAUAGUCAGUAUGUUGCCCUAUUAUUUUUAAAUUUUUUGUGCCUGGAAAAACGUAUUGUCCAGUAUUAAUGGGCUAAAUGUUAACAGCAUGCUACAAAAGAUUGUAACUGUCAGUUCAAAUCACUUCAUUAAAUAACAUUAUGGUUUUCCUAAAGUCAGUGCUAAAGAGGUUAAAACUGAGCCAAAUAACUUAAUGACUUUUAAUUUGUUUUUAACCAAUGCAGAUACUGAUGAAUGUAUAGACUCAUUCAACAACACUUGACGCUCUGUUACUGCAUUAUUAUGUAUUUCAUAAUCAACUGUUAAUGUGCAUAAAGACUGAAUCAGGCAUUUAAAUAGCUUCUGCUUUCAAGGUUCUGAAGCCCAAAACCACCUGACACAUGCUUGUUUACAAACUGUACCAUCUUGAAUAAAACUAAAUGCGUGUAA
Molecule: long non-coding RNA, 925 nt
Organism: Siniperca chuatsi (mandarin fish)
Lineage: Eukaryota; Metazoa; Chordata; Actinopteri; Centrarchiformes; Sinipercidae
Exons: 2
Source: RefSeq, a predicted model, not a curated record